Molecule: long non-coding RNA, 1798 nt
Filed under: Rattus norvegicus (Norway rat)
Lineage: Eukaryota; Metazoa; Chordata; Mammalia; Rodentia; Muridae
Description: long non-coding RNA NONRATT016212
Source: RNAcentral
AAAGGAGAAGAACUGGGACCAUCAGAGCAAAGGUAGAGUUAACCACAAAGAAUGAAAAAGUCACUCCUUAGUUACUCACUGCCAGUUCUGCACAUUGGUGUAACUGGAACCAGAGACUCUUUUCUUCACCCUUGGACUCAUAAGUUUAUUUCUGAAUAUUUUAGAUAAGUGGCUGGAAAUGACUGUGGAAGAAAUUAUUAUUAUUAUUAUUAUUAUUAUUAUUAUUAUUAUUAUUAUUGAAGCAAUGAUGCUAUCAAGAAUGCUACCUGGAUUCGGCUGUUUUUCAGGUGUUGCUGUCGAAUGCCAGGUGCAACUCCUACAGUUCUCACACUCUGCCCCAGCCUGAAGCUGACUGUGAUGAAUGGUGAAGCCUCUGUCAUAACGUUGGCAGCUCUCAGCAUUAGGUUAUAUUAAUGGGGACCUUGCGUGCCAUCCACUUAAAUAUGCAAACUGAAGGACCAGAACUGUACUUGUAGAUGUACUAACUGUGGUGGCUCACAGGGACCCCAGGGAACAUCUCUAUAACCUGUUUGAAUGGUGUCGAUUUAGACAGAUUGCAGGGUCAGAGGGUCUACUCAGAUUCCCCAAACAAUGUGAAACCUGGUAUGGCUGGAGUUUUCAUAACCUAGGCUGUUCUACUAGAAGACGGUGCUGACCCAGGUGGCUGAGAGCAAAUAGCAUGGCUGCACCAGUGUCAGCUCUGGCUUUGAUAUGUGACAUGGCAGGAGGCCCAGACUUGAGAGUAUUCCCUCUGGAAAGCCUCCAGCCUACAGCUUGGGGAUGGGACCUGGCACAGGCUCACCCUAGGACAGCAUCUUACUCUAAGGGGUCAUUGGAAUCUCUAGUCUGCCUCAGUAUUAGUUCUGCUGCUGACCAGUGCUGGCUUUGAAAGUAUUCUCUUGCCAGGGAUGUGGCUCCUGUUGUUUUAGAGGGAAACGAAGACAGGAGGAAAAAUCAAGCUGGCCAUCUCAUAUAGAGCAGUGGACUUUGAGUAGUCAAGCACCUAUCAACACCGGUUAGGAAGUUCUAGAAACUGGUUCAGAAUGGCCCAACUCUGAGUGUACCGGAUGGAAAGUGUGAGUGGACACUACAUGUCCAGAGAGUUCCCAUCCUCCCAUCCCACUGCCCCGAUCCUGGAGCCUGCUGUGGAGUUAGAACCCAGAGCUCCAUUCAGCGACAGCUAAGUCUACUAUGAUUGGAACCUUCUUGGUUCCAAUAUAGUUCUGGAAGGUAAACGGCAGGCGAGCCAUGCCCAGCAUUUGCAGGGUGUGAGGGUCUCCAGCAAGUGGGGACAGAGGGAGACCUGCACCGCCAGGGUUGGGGUUCCUCCUCCUGGCUCAAGCUCUGUUUUCUAAUGUGAAGCGAUGUUCUUUGUCAUUUCUAAAACCUCCUGUCAGUUUCUGGAUGUCCAAAUGCUGUUGAAUAUGGAUGUAACCAUAAAUUCCAGAGUGUUUUAUUUUGAGAUGAGAGUUUUGCUACAGUUUAUAUAGGCUAUUUUCCUAUUUAGACCUCAGGGCUAUCUUGGGACCCACUACUAAGUGUGACCCUCCCAGCAGCUUCAAUUCUGGGUAGACAAGUUACAUAACCUUUAAAUGUGAUAUUACUCAGCAGGAAGAAUGUGUUUCUCUCUUUUAACUUCUGGCAAUUUUUGUUUUAAAGGUCUAGAAAAAGACACUAGAAGAAAACAGAGGUAAAAGAAUUAAAGAUCAACUGUAAAAUAAACAUUCUCAUGGUAUACAAUUGUGAUAUCCGAAUAAACGUGUGUGCAUAAAAUUAUUUUAAAAGUGCUAUGAAACAG